AAAAAAUAAUAGCCUUUCAUCAGGUCUAUUAAGUCCCUAUAUAACCCUUAGACACCAAAUGAAAUCAUCCAUAGGGCCUUUAAACAAUACAUAAGCAUGUCUAAUAGAAAUAAAAAAAUCGGCCGCAUGCAAAACAGUCAGAUCUUCUUCUUGCCUUCUCUUUCUUGGAGAGACCCCAUGGGAGAGGGAGAGGGAAGAUUUCACAUAAGGAAAAAUAGAGACGAUAAUAGGGUUUCAGGAGAGGGAGGGCAUAUGAUAGGCAUGGGCAAGAGAAUAACCAGAUGAAAAGGGAGCAAAGCCCUGCAUAUUGUCAUUCAAAAUAAUUUGCAAUUGAGUGACUUGAUUUUUGGAUUGCAAUUUGGGUGUUUUUUGAUAACUGAAAGGAGAUAAUCAAAC
RNAcentral lists this long non-coding RNA (396 nucleotides) under Amborella trichopoda. RNAcentral's name for it is "long non-coding RNA (ATRI_LNC001749)". Lineage: Eukaryota; Viridiplantae; Streptophyta; Magnoliopsida; Amborellales; Amborellaceae. The record is from RNAcentral.